UAUGACUUUCACUACAGCGAU
RNAcentral lists this non-coding RNA (21 nucleotides) under Caenorhabditis elegans. The record is from RNAcentral. Lineage: Eukaryota; Metazoa; Nematoda; Chromadorea; Rhabditida; Rhabditidae.